UACGGGGGGGGCAAGCGUUGUUCGGAAUUACUGGGCGUAAAGGGCUCGUAGGCGGCCAACUAAGUCAUACGUGAAAUCCCCCGGCUUAACCGGGGGAACUGCGUCUGAUACUGGAUGGCUUGAGUUCGGGAGAGGAGAGUGGGAAUUCCCAGUGUAGAGGUGAAAUUCGUAGAUAUUGGGAAGAACACCGGUGGCGAAGGCGG
RNAcentral lists this ribosomal RNA (203 nucleotides) under uncultured bacterium. Its description in RNAcentral is "partial 16S ribosomal RNA". It matches the Rfam family "Bacterial small subunit ribosomal RNA", at positions 524 to 724 of the family's 1533-position model. The record is from RNAcentral.